Molecule: long non-coding RNA, 378 nt
Filed under: Vitis vinifera (wine grape)
Lineage: Eukaryota; Viridiplantae; Streptophyta; Magnoliopsida; Vitales; Vitaceae
Description: long non-coding RNA (VVIN_LNC005463)
Source: RNAcentral
UCUGCUCAGUGAAGAGGAAGCUGAGAGACUAGAAGAAGAGCAUGGUGUGGUGGCUGUUUUUCCUGAAACAGUGUACCAACUGCACACCACAAGGAGUCCCGUGUUCCUUGGCCUCGAACCCGCCGACAGUACCAGCGUCUGGUCUGAGAAACUCUCGGACAACGACGUCAUAGUUGGAGUUCUCGACACCGGGAUAUGGCCCGAGAGCGAGAGCUUCAACGAUACUGGCUUUACCUCAGUUCCAGCUCAUUGGAAAGGCGCGUGCGAGACAGGACGAGCCUUUACCAGGAACCACUGUAACAAGAAGAUUGUCGGUGCCCGGGUCUUUUACCGGGGAUAUGAAUCCGCCUCAGGGAAAAUUAACGAGAAAGAUGAAUA